This 465-nucleotide ribosomal RNA is filed under the name Vreelandella stevensii. Its description in RNAcentral is "partial 16S ribosomal RNA". It matches the Rfam family "Bacterial small subunit ribosomal RNA", at positions 338 to 795 of the family's 1533-position model. The record is from RNAcentral. Lineage: Bacteria; Pseudomonadati; Pseudomonadota; Gammaproteobacteria; Oceanospirillales; Halomonadaceae.
CCUACGGGAGGCUGCAGUGGGGAAUAUUGGACAAUGGGGGCAACCCUGAUCCAGCCAUGCCGCGUGUGUGAAGAAGGCCCUCGGGUUGUAAAGCACUUUCAGUGAGGAAGAACGCCUGGUGGUUAAUACCCAUCAGGAAAGACAUCACUCACAGAAGAAGCACCGGCUAACUCCGUGCCAGCAGCCGCGGUAAUACGGAGGGUGCGAGCGUUAAUCGGAAUUACUGGGCGUAAAGCGCGCGUAGGUGGCUUGAUAAGCCGGUUGUGAAAGCCCCGGGCUCAACCUGGGAACGGCAUCCGGAACUGUCGAGCUAGAGUGCAGGAGAGGAAGGUAGAACUCCCGGUGUAGCGGUGAAAUGCGUAGAGAUCGGGAGGAAUACCAGUGGCGAAGGCGGCCUUCUGGACUGACACUGACACUGAGGUGCGAAAGCAUGGGUAGCGAACAGGAUUAGAUACCCCGGUAGUC